RNAcentral lists this ribosomal RNA (424 nucleotides) under Verrucomicrobiota bacterium. Its description in RNAcentral is "Verrucomicrobia bacterium partial 16S ribosomal RNA". It matches the Rfam family "Bacterial small subunit ribosomal RNA", at positions 355 to 776 of the family's 1533-position model. Lineage: Bacteria; Pseudomonadati; Verrucomicrobiota. The record is from RNAcentral.
UGAGGAAUAUUGGUCAAUGGGCGAGAGCCUGAACCAGCCAAGUAGCGUGCAGGAUGACGGCCCUAUGGGUUGUAAACUGCUUUUAUAUGGGAAUAAAGUGAGGGACGUGUCCCUUAUUGCAUGUACCAUACGACUAAGGACCGGCUAAUUCCGUGCCAGCAGCCGCGGUAAUACGGAAGGUCCAGGCGUUAUCCGGAUUUAUUGGGUUUAAAGGGAGCGUAGGCUGUUUGUUAAGCGUGUUGUGAAAUGUAAGAGCUCAACUUUUAGAUUGCAGCGCGAACUGGCAGACUUGAGUGCGCACAACGUAGGCGGAAUUCAUGGUGUAGCGGUGAAAUGCUUAGAUAUCAUGACGAACUCCGAUUGCGAAGGCAGCUUACGGGAGCGCAACUGACGCUAAAGCUCGAAGGUGCGGGUAUCGAACAGG